AGAGACUGCAUGAAUGCACUUUUAUUGAAACCAUGGUCUCAUAUACAGAUGCCUCGUAUGAGACUGAUGCAUGCAAGGCCACUCCUCUUUUACUAGGCAUCAGUCCAAAAGAGGCACAGAGGCCAUGGCACAGAGGCCAUGCCUCCAUCACUAGGUUCAGAGGACAUACCUCUCUAAAUUAUGACUGUAGGUACAGCGGACAUGCGUCCUUCACUAGGACUGACAGGUACAGAGGACACACCUCCUUCACUAGGACUGACAGGUACAGAGGACAUGCCUCCUUCAAUCGGACGGACAGAUACAGAGGACACACCUCCUUCACUAGGACGGACACAUACAGAGGACACGCCUCCUUCACUAGGACGGACAGAUACAGAGGACACACCUUCACUAAGACUGACAGGUACAGAGGACACACCUCCUUCAAUAGGACAGACAGAUACAGAGGACACACCUCCUUCACUAGGACGGACACAUACAGAGGACACGCCUCCUUCACUAGGACGGACAGAUACAGAGGACACACCUCCUUCACUAAGACUGACAG
Ictalurus punctatus (channel catfish) is the source of this 547-nucleotide long non-coding RNA. The record is from Ensembl. NCBI's taxonomy places the organism in Eukaryota, Metazoa, Chordata, Actinopteri, Siluriformes, Ictaluridae.